GCUCUACAUUCAGUAGGGCCCAGCCUGGGAGGUGAACAAACCUCUCCCUGUUACCUCCCAGCCAGGAGUGCUGCAGGGAUGGAGCUGCCUGGGGGUCCUGUGAACCUUGAGACACUGCACCGGGCCACGGCUCAUCAGACCCUAACUGCCAUUUGAAUACCACCCAAACACCCAGGCCCAUUCCGGAGCUCCUCAGACCUCUGGGAUGCUGUAACAAGGAAAGAAGAAUGGCCAGAGCAGAGCAUAUGGUGUGGAAGGUGAAAUAAAACAAAACAAAACCCAGGCUGUUUUCCCUGAAACAAAAUGCUGCAGGCUAUGGGAGACUCCAGCCGUAAGUGGUACGCUAACCACCCUCACUUCCAAACGGAGCAGCACCUGAGGGUUUUAUCUUCGAACCCUUCAGAGGGCCACUUUGCAAAAACUCAGUGUGAACAGAGGCAGAAGAACUGAACAGCUCACAGUGAACCAAACCAAGAUACUCUGUUCCUCUGCCAGGCCUCUUCUACACUGGGUUUUUGGCCCCUGGGAUAGCUGCACGGGUGCAAAACCCUCGUGUCGACACAAGUUGCAGUGGCAUAAAUCAUGUCUGAACUAAGGGUUUUCCCAGUGCAGCUACCUGAUGGUUAAAACCUCAGGGCCAAAGUCUCUGCUGAUGUAAAUUGGCACAGCUCUAUUUGGAUUCAGCCCCAGACAAGACCUCAGAUACAGUUGAGCCUGGGCACCAAAGAUCAGAUCUGGAUCAGGAGCUGACUAAUCCCAAGGUUGGGAGUGUUUGGAUGUGGAUCCUGGAGCUUGACUUUCUUUUGUAUCAAAGAAGAUAAAGGUGGAAAGGAUCCUGUUAUAGGCACCAAGGGAAAACACCCUCCUGUGCCACGUUCCCUGACUUUGGGUCCAUCACUCUUCACCCCAUCUAUCCAUCCAUUCCCACUUGGAUCUGAUCCUUCUGAAGGGUGAGAGUUGAGUUCUCAGCUUUAGAGGGAACACUUUUAAAUAAACAAACACUGACAGGCAGUCCUUGACAUCAUGAAUAACGAUAAGAUAGCACCAAGGGGCUGAGCUGGUGUGGUCCCAGGACAACCAGGUAACUAGCCAAUGGCUUGAUAAGGUCAGAAGGGCCCUGACCUGCCACUGCCACUCACCACCAGACACUCCCCCACAUCCUGCUGCAGUCUCUCAUAGCUGGGUUUCUCGGAUCUAAGCGUUGCCUGGGGCUGGGAGCUCCAUCAGGGGAGACAGAGAGUGUGAGGAAAGUGAAAGUGUCAGAAAUCUCACUCCAGACCUGACACGCAGCAUCACCUCAUAUUCCAGUUCUGAGCAUCCCAGUCCUGAGCCACAGCCCCCUCGGCUAUUCUAAAUCAAUGGUGGGAGAAAUUACCAAUGGUUAGAGCAGGGGCAGGCAGUCAAGCGAGCUGGGUUUUAUUCCUGGCCAUGUCACUGACCUGCUGGGUGACCUAUGCAAGAUUCUUAACCUCUGUCUCCUUCCGUUUUCCCAUCUGUAAAUACAGACAUUUGCUGUAACUAUGUUAACUCUGCCUCCUACAGAUGGUAUCCUGCCAUCUUCCCCUCUUCGCACACAGCAUAUAGAAAAUAUGCACCCGUGCAUUGCUUUUAUAACUUACUGCAUGCAUGU
Mauremys reevesii (Reeves's turtle) is the source of this 1630-nucleotide long non-coding RNA. RefSeq lists it as uncharacterized. NCBI's taxonomy places the organism in Eukaryota, Metazoa, Chordata, Testudines, Geoemydidae. The transcript is spliced from 2 exons. The record is from RefSeq and is a predicted model, not a curated record.